UCUCGAACCCUAGAGAUAGGGCUUUCCCCUUCGGGGGACAGAGUGACAGGUGGUGCAUGGUUGUCGUCAGCUCGUGUCGUGAGAUGUUGGGUUAAGUCCCGCAACGAGCGCAACCCUUGAUCUUAGUUGCCAGCAUUCAGUUGGGCACUCUAAGAUGACUGCCGGUGACAAACCGGAGGAAGGUGGGGAUGACGUCAAAUCAUCAUGCCCCUUAUGACCUGGGCUACACACGUGCUACAAUGGACGGUACAAAGGGCAGCGAGACCGCGAGGUUUAGCCAAUCCCAUAAAACCGUUCUCAGUUCGGAUUGCAGGCUGCAACUCGCCUACAUGAAGCUGGAAUCGCUAGUAAUCGCGGAUCAGCAUGCCGCGGUGAAUACGUUCCCGGGUCUUUACACACCGAA
This 403-nucleotide ribosomal RNA is filed under the name uncultured bacterium. RNAcentral describes it as "bacterial SSU rRNA". It matches the Rfam family "Bacterial small subunit ribosomal RNA", at positions 990 to 1394 of the family's 1533-position model. The record is from RNAcentral.